This 313-nucleotide ribosomal RNA is filed under the name uncultured bacterium. RNAcentral describes it as "bacterial SSU rRNA". It matches the Rfam family "Bacterial small subunit ribosomal RNA", at positions 28 to 334 of the family's 1533-position model. The record is from RNAcentral.
GAUGAACGCUAGCGGCAGGCCUAACACAUGCAAGUCGAGGGGCAGCAUUUCCAGCUUGCUGGGAGAUGGCGACCGGCGCACGGGUGCGCAACGCGUAUGGAACCUGCCCGCUGCAGGGGAAUAGCCCGGGGAAACCCGGAUUAAUGCCCCGUAGAACCCUUUCGCGGCAUCGCGAAAUGGUUAUAGCCUACGGGCGGCGGCGGAUGGCCAUGCGUACCAUUAGCUUGUUGGUGGGGUAACGGCCCACCAAUGCUACGAUGGUUAGGGGCCCUGAGAGGGGGAUCCCCCACACUGGUACUGAGACACGGACCAG